CCUUCGGGAGCAGGUGUAGAGGUGCUGCAUGGCUGUCGUCAGCUCGUGUUGUGAGAUGUUGGUUAAGUCCCGCAACGAGCGCAACCCCUGCCCUUAGUUGCCAUCGGGUCACGCCGGGAACCCUAAGGGGACCGCCCGGACAACGGGGAGGAAGGUGGGGAUGACGUCAAGUCAGCAUGGCCUUUAUGUCCAGGGCUACACACGUGCUACAAUGGUUGGUACAAAGGGUUGCCAAGCCGUGAGGCGGAGCCAAUCUCAAAAAGCCAAACCUCAGUUCGGAUUGCAGUCUGCAACUCGACUGCAUGAAGUUGGAAUCGCUAGUAAUCGCUGAUCAGCAGGCACGCGGUUCCGAAUACGUUCCGGCCUU
This 367-nucleotide ribosomal RNA is filed under the name uncultured Holophagae bacterium. Its description in RNAcentral is "bacterial SSU rRNA". It matches the Rfam family "Bacterial small subunit ribosomal RNA", at positions 1017 to 1374 of the family's 1533-position model. The record is from RNAcentral. Lineage: Bacteria; Pseudomonadati; Acidobacteriota; Holophagae.